Saccoglossus kowalevskii is the source of this 274-nucleotide long non-coding RNA. The record is from RefSeq and is a predicted model, not a curated record. Lineage: Eukaryota; Metazoa; Hemichordata; Enteropneusta; Harrimaniidae.
GUUACUGUACGAGCGAUGGAACUUGGGCGUGCACAAAGAUUCUGUGUGGGGAUACAGUUAUCGAGGCAGUCGAGCUCGAGGCUACCGCUGAAAGACUGACAAUAGGCUGAGAUAACACUUCAUUGAAUUCAUCUAUUUAACUCAUCCUUUAAUCGGCAAACCCCCUCUUGGCAAAUAAACUAUACGAUCAAUAACUAUGGCUGGUUACGACAGCUAAUUAAUAUUCAAUAAUUGUUCCUUCGAAUUUAUUCAAAUAAACUCGGCCUGUAAAUAA